CUCACCCAUUUUGGGCUCCCCGAGGCGCCUUUUCACGGAGGAGGCGGGUAGGAGAAGAAGGAGAGGACCAGAGGGGGGCAGCCUGCCACCGCCACCGCGCCCAGAGGAGCGGCGCGGCCGAACAGAGGACAGAGGAGGGCCCGUAGUCAAAUCGCGGGACGGAUAUAAAUUAGGUCGUCCUUUGCUGGCUGAAUUCAGUACCUCCCCUUGUUUCUACUCCGGAACUCCAGACAGUUCGAACGUGUCUGACGCGAUCGUAGACCUCUAUCUGUCGCCCGUCUGUUUAAAUAAGCUUAACGGGUUUCUAACCUAGGGUCGGAAGGUUAACAACUAAACAACUGGAGUUGGUUUUUCAAACUAGGGGACUUAGACUUACCAUGACGAACGGUCCUGUUCUGGUGUUCUCCGGUACUUUUGGAUUUUUGCGGUUUUCUUAAACAACCAGGAAGAUUACAACUAUUUCCAAUGUGGCUCCUCUUACAAUCUCAAUAGGCACUAUAGUCCUUCUUGUUUCUGAUGAUACGUUAAGAACCUCACCUUUCCUGAACGAGGAACCUCCUCUAAUCCUUCCGGAUGUCCUCCGACAGUGACUUUUAAGUAGGACUGUUCUUGUUCCGAGGACCCCGUCUUCUACGUAAGUUCUACGAGUCGUUCCGAAAGUUCACGGAUCCGUUACUAGUCAGUGCCUUCUGGAUACUAGUCUGUCCGUGUGAACUCCCCGUACUCCAAUUGCUGGUUAUAAGGUUACAGUACUCCGUCUCUUGACGAUCCGCUUCCUCCGUUUGUUCUUUACCGAAGAUAUUAAUACUUCUUCUAAAUCUAGGUCUACUCUAUAAGUCCAGAAAGAAGAUACCAUGAGCACUAUUAAGCAAGGCACCAGUGUUACAGAUGUCUUGUUCUCUUCGUCCAUCCGUCCUCGUUGUCUCUUCCCUCGUAGGACAUGUCCCACCCAGCAAGUACUUGAAUUGUCAUAACUACGUGGACAGCCAGCAUAAUGAAAAACAGAACAAACGUAAGUAAGGUCACGUCGUCGGAGUUAUACGGGACGUGUUCUGUAUGUUGAAAGGGUAAAGUUUUCAGUGACUAUUCGUACCCCACCUCAUGAAACAGUCGUUUGUUCUAAAACUAGUCGUCAAAGGUGUACCUUCGGGAUGAUCUCUAUUGGAACUCCUAGUACAAAAGUCUCUAAUAUUCUGAUACGAUCCUUCUUUGACAGCACACCUUGAGGUAGCCGCAUUUACCCGGUUACUGAUGGGAUGCGGAAUGACACUGUUCGAUGCCUCGGAACUACACCGUAUUAUCAAGGGUGCACCACUAAUCAAACAACAGAGGUAACUCCAGAACGUCUUCAAGUGAGAGAAACUUCCACAUUGUACCAUUCUAAAAUACCUUUUCCUACUCGUUAUAUAAAGAUCAAACAGACCACGGGAUGGAAAAUAUUGCAAAGCUACUGUAUAAUACCUGGUCAUUUAACAGACGAUGUACUUCUCCGAAACUACCGACCGAUCACACAUGUACCACCUCAAGUUAGUCCGCACUAGAACCCAAGUAGCCGGACAGUAAGAAGACCUCGUUAAUGGUAAGAUGUCGACGCUCACGUUUUAAAACACGUCUAAUAGUACGAUGCGGACGGAUAUCAACGACUCACGUUUUAACACAUGUAUAUGCUGAGACUUUUUACCGAUCGCUAGUACUCUAGCAGUAACAUGACGGACUUUGGUGACAACUGAACUUUAAGAGACCCAACCAACAUCAACGACAAGGAAGACUUGUUAACAUUUGGGGAACUUUACUUUUAAUCUUUUGCACUUGACACUUGGAAAACUUUAUUUUUAAUAUUUUGUACUUUGGGGACCACAGC
Molecule: ribosomal RNA, 1861 nt
Filed under: Triticum aestivum (bread wheat)
Lineage: Eukaryota; Viridiplantae; Streptophyta; Magnoliopsida; Poales; Poaceae
Description: partial small subunit ribosomal RNA
Source: RNAcentral